UACGUAGGGACCGAGCGUUGUCCGGAAUCAUUGGGCGUAAAGAGCGUGUAGGCGGCCUUUUAAGUCCUGCGUGAAAUCCUGCGGCUCAACCGCAGACGGUCGUGGGAAACUGGAAGGCUAGAGUGCGGGAGAGGAGAGUGGAAUUCCCGGUGUAGCGGUGAAAUUCGUAGAUAUCGAGAGGAACACCGGUGGCGAAGGCGGCCUUCUGGACAGUAACUGACGCUGAGACGCGAAAGCGUGGGGAGCAAACAGG
RNAcentral lists this ribosomal RNA (253 nucleotides) under uncultured bacterium. Its description in RNAcentral is "partial 16S ribosomal RNA". It matches the Rfam family "Bacterial small subunit ribosomal RNA", at positions 524 to 776 of the family's 1533-position model. The record is from RNAcentral.